GACGAACGCUGGCGGCGUGCUUAACACAUGCAAGUCGAGCGGUAAGGCCCUUUCGGGGGUACACGAGCGGCGAACGGGUGAGUAACACGUGGGUGACCUGCCCUCAGCUCUGGGAUAAGCCUGGGAAGCCGGGUCUAAUACUGGAUAUGACUCCAUGACGCAUGUUGUGGGGUGGAAAGCCUUGUGCGGCUGAGGAUGGGCCCGCGGCCUAUCAGCUUGUUGGUGGGGUGAUGGCCUACCAAGGCGACGACGGGUAGCCGGCCUGAGAGGGCGACCGGCCACACUGGGACUGAGACACGGCCCAGACUCCUACGGGAGGCAGCAGUGGGGAAUCUUGCGCAAUGGGCGAAAAGCCUGACGCAGCGACGCCGCGUGAGGGAUGACGGCCU
This 389-nucleotide ribosomal RNA is filed under the name uncultured bacterium. Its description in RNAcentral is "bacterial SSU rRNA". It matches the Rfam family "Bacterial small subunit ribosomal RNA", at positions 28 to 417 of the family's 1533-position model. The record is from RNAcentral.